UCCGGUCCCCUAUCUUACUCACUAUUAAUUUUUUAGCAAUGCCUUUAGGAAUGCCUGUAUUGUCAUGCACUAAAACUUAAAAAUGAGCCACUUGGGAUGUGUUGCUCAUCAGGAAAAGUACAACUACCCGAAAUUGAAACACCACCUGAACCAUUGCGCGGUUUACUUCUCGGUACAGAUACAGAUUCUACCCUGUUCCUGAAGUUAAUUCGGACUUUGGAUUAACAAAAAUAGUUAACAAUAUUGCUGGAAACGGUCAACAUUUCAAUUCCACAUUCAAAAUUAAAGGCCAAGUGUAUCACAAAGUGGGCUCAUUGCUGCCAAUGCCGAACGAAUCUCAUAAAUUUUUUCAAAUCUACUUUAUGGGAGGUGAGGACUCCACAAGUGCACUCGCCAAUCCUGUGGAUGCACGUUGUGACUACCAUAAACUCAAUUCACCGUUUUUCAGGCGUAUUAUCGGCGAGCUGGACGCUAUGUUAAAUGAGCACAAUGACUUAUUGAAAUUAUUCAAAUCACACAUGCACAAGCUAAAAAGUGUCAAUCACGCUAUUGUCAUCAAUCCUGAUAGAACACCAGCUGGAGAGAAUAUACGCACCUGUUUUUAACGACGUUGCUGGAAUCAUGUGUCACUCACCGUUCAUAUGACGCCCUCCAAUAUCCAUUAAUUUUUUGGAAGGGACAAGACGGAUAUUGCGUUAAUAUUAAACGAGAUCUCGUAACAGGAGGCGAAACAAAUAAGAACGUAAAGUAUUUGGCGGCUCUCUGUUACUCCUUUCAGGUGAUUUCAGACAAACUCUUCAAAUUAUUCCACGUUCAACGUACGCUGAUGAAAUCAAUGCUUGCUUAAAAUCGUCGCGACUGUGGCGUAAUGUUGAAAAAGUACAACUGACGAAGAACAUGCGCGUUCAAAUGCUUCGGGAUCCACCCGCCGAAACUUUCUCUAAACAACUGUUAUAUAUUGGCGAGGGAAAAUUGCUGUACAUGAAAAUACUGGAUGUAUAAAAUUAUAAACGGACUUCUGCACAAUCGUCGACUCGCAAAAUACUCUCAUUGAUCGAAUAUUGCCUAAUGUACACACAUAAUAUGAAAAUCAUAAGUUGUUGGCAGAAA
This 1110-nucleotide small RNA is filed under the name Drosophila ananassae. RNAcentral's name for it is "GF27497". The record is from RNAcentral. Lineage: Eukaryota; Metazoa; Arthropoda; Insecta; Diptera; Drosophilidae.